This is a non-coding RNA of Cherax quadricarinatus, 842 nucleotides long. Lineage: Eukaryota; Metazoa; Arthropoda; Malacostraca; Decapoda; Parastacidae. The record is from RefSeq and is a predicted model, not a curated record.
CCACGCCUCACCACACAACAGCACCCCCUUCACAAUACCACCAUGCAACACCACCAAACAUCACUGCGCAACACCACCACUCAACACAACCACACAGGACCACCACACAACAUCUGACAAAUGCACCACCUUCCUAAGCUAAGCAGGUGUCAAGGGAUCUGAUUAUUGUAACAGUACAUUCGACAUUUCCUGCUACUCUAUCUAUCCCUCUCCUGUGCAUCACUUAAAAUGACUCUCUCCUCAUUCAGGUAUCUCCACCACACUUGGUUGAGUACUAUCCCCUGGUCCACAACGACGGCUUGGAGAGCAGGAGGCUAGGUCUAUCCUUCACGGUAGAGGAGUCGCACUUCCUGAAGGGUGAACUGGUGCUCAAGUGCCAGGCCACGGUGGCGGCGGUAUACACUGUAUUAAGGAGGAGGAUGCCACGGUCUCCCACGGUCAGCCUGUUAUACUUGAGCAGCGUGAACAUCGUGUUCUUGUACGUAGUGAUGUUACAAGGGUGGUACCAGCCUCGACUGUCAUUGUGGUGGUAACACUUCUGAUGACUCUCGUAUCAGGUGUGGAGUCAACCUCGACCCUGAAGAUAAUCUUGGCAGUCCUAUUGAUUUUGUUAAAAGUGGUGCCAAACUCAACCGUUGCUCCCGUGUUGGCACCUCGUGUGAUUUUUGAAGCAGUCACGUGACUUGCCUACAUACUCUGUAUAAAAACUCUCAAACUAGAAAAUAUAACUUUGUUAUAACCAUGAUAAAUAUAGCAAACUAUUUCAUGUAUUCAGUGUUAGUCGCAUCUGUUAUAUGUGAAAGAGAAUCUUACAACACAAACACGCACACACACACUUUAUA